AACGAACGCUGGCGGCAUGCCUAACACAUGCAAGUCGAACGAGACCUUCGGGUCUUGUGGCGCACGUGGGCGUACCGCGGGGGAACCUACCCGUAGGUUCGGAAUAACUCCCCGAAAGGGAUGCUAAUACCGGAUAAUGUCUUCGGACCAAAGAUUUCUCGCCUUUGGGUGGGCCCGCGUUAGAUUAGCUAGUUGGUAGGGUAAAAGCAUACCAAGGCGACGAUGCAUAGCUGGUCUGAGAGGAUGCUAAGCCACACUGGGACUGAGACACGGCCCAGAAUCCUACGGGAGGGAGCAGUGUGGUAUAUUGUGCGAGGGGCGAAAGUCUGACACAGCAAUGUGGGGGGAGUGAUGAAGGCCGUAGUGUUGUAAAGCUCUUUUACCCGGGAUGAGAAUGACGGUACCGGGAGAAUAAGCUCCGGCUAACUCCGUG
RNAcentral lists this ribosomal RNA (433 nucleotides) under uncultured bacterium. RNAcentral describes it as "partial 16S ribosomal RNA". It matches the Rfam family "Bacterial small subunit ribosomal RNA", at positions 29 to 507 of the family's 1533-position model. The record is from RNAcentral.